RNAcentral lists this ribosomal RNA (432 nucleotides) under uncultured bacterium. RNAcentral's name for it is "partial 16S ribosomal RNA". It matches the Rfam family "Bacterial small subunit ribosomal RNA", at positions 29 to 506 of the family's 1533-position model. The record is from RNAcentral.
AACGAACGCUGGCGGCAUGCCUAACACAUGCAAGUCGAACGAGACCUUCGGGCCUAGUGGCGCACGGGUGCGUAACGCGUGGGAACCUGCCCUUAGGUUCGGUAUCACUCCCCGAAAGGGGUGCUAAUACCGGAUAAUGUCUUCGGACCAAAGAUUUAUCGCCUGUGGAUGGGCCCGCGUUGGAUUCGCUAGUUGGUAGGGUAAAAGCCUACCAAGGCGACGAUCCAUAGCUGGUCUGAGAGGAUGAUCAGCCACACUGGGACUGGGACACGGCCCAGACGCCUAGGGGAGGCAGCAGUGGGGAAUAUAGGACAAGGGGCGAAAGCCAGAUCCAGCAAUGCCGGGUGAGUGAUGAAGGCCUUAGGGUUGUAAAGCUCUUUUACCCGGGAUGAUAAGGAGAGUACCGGGAGAAUAAGCUCCGGCUAACUCGGU